GAGGAGAACAUUCCUUAGUACGAGAGGACCGGGAAUGACGCACCUCUGGUGUUUCGGUUGUCGCGCCAGCGGCAUGGCCGAGUAGCUAUGUGCGGAAUGAAUAAGCUCUGAAUGCAUCUAAGAGCCAAGUCGACUCCAAGAUUGGAUCUCCCUUCCAGGUUCGCCUGGACUGAAGGCAGGUUGAAGACUACGACCUCGAUAGGGCGGGUGUGUAAGCGCAGCGAUGCGUUCAGCUAACCGCUACUAAUCAGCCGUGAGGCUUGGCCAUUUA
This 271-nucleotide ribosomal RNA is filed under the name Spartobacteria bacterium. Its description in RNAcentral is "partial 23S ribosomal RNA". It matches the Rfam family "Bacterial large subunit ribosomal RNA", at positions 2664 to 2925 of the family's 2925-position model. Lineage: Bacteria; Pseudomonadati; Verrucomicrobiota; Spartobacteria. The record is from RNAcentral.